UUUUUUGGCCUCAGUGAAGAUCUACAUCCUUGCAGGCUGCAUUAACAGAGCUGGUUUGAAAUGAGCUUUAGUUUCACUCAAUAAUGGGCUGAACAGACAAAAGGAAUACAUGGUUAUGUCGAUCCCAGCUAAUUACAGCCUCUUGAAAUAAUUUUCAGGAAUAAAUAUACAAUUAAUUUCUUAUAAGUAUAAGCUGCUGAUUGUACAAUAUCUCACUGUUGGGCACCAGAGUUUCAUAAAUAUUUUAAAGGAAAAAGCUGCAUAAAACUGAAGGUGGUUAACACAGAUUUUUUUCUUCUAAAACAAUGGUUUAUAAAACAUUUUUAAUUCUGUGAGUUUUUAAAUCUUCAAAAUAACUUACCAGCUCAUGUCUUUUAUUUUGCCCAGACAAUGUAACACUACUACAAGUCUAGUUCUUUUUGCCAAGCUUUACGUUUUGAAAAAGCUCAAAGUUAUAGAGAAUUACAAGAGCAAUACAAUUAGUUAUAAUUUUUUAAAUUAACGGACUCAUUCCAAGUUUAUAUUUUCAAAUUGUCAUGGUUCUAAGGAUUAAGUAGUAUAUACACCCCUGCAUAUAUGUAAAUAAGGCAUACUUCUAAUACAAAAGUAUUACUACUAAAUUAUUUGUGUAUUGGGGAUAAGAAACAAAUCCUAAAUAUUUUAGUAGCAUAACAAGGAAGGGAAUGUAUUGAUAUUAAAAAAGAAAAAAAAAUCUCUUUCUGACCAGGGUGAGGCAGUAUCUAAGGCGAUAGCCAACUAGGGGACAGUCUGGCAUCUUCAGUUUAGAAAUUGCCUGGAAGAUUGCAUCUUAUUUUUAACAAGUCAUACUAGAAUAUAUUCGUAGUGAAGACAACUUUCAAACAAUAAUACAGUUUUAAUUUCAAAUACAGAAGGGAAAAAAAACAAGAAAAGGAAUGCAUUUACAUCAGUCUCCUGAGUCACUCUGUGCCUGAGGUGGGAGAGUGAAGUCAAGAUACCCUCACCCAAGUUCAGGAACUUGAGGAGGUAAAAUUCCUAAGAGACCCUAAAGGACCCCCACAGAAGCUUGCCAACGGUCCCCUGGCGUCUGCCAAAGCACGGUCAGCAGAGAGAAAAGAGGAUCUGAG
Molecule: long non-coding RNA, 1106 nt
Filed under: Bos taurus (domestic cattle)
Lineage: Eukaryota; Metazoa; Chordata; Mammalia; Artiodactyla; Bovidae
Description: long non-coding RNA NONBTAT016305
Source: RNAcentral